Molecule: ribosomal RNA, 440 nt
Filed under: uncultured bacterium
Lineage: Bacteria
Description: bacterial SSU rRNA
Rfam family: Bacterial small subunit ribosomal RNA
Source: RNAcentral
CCUACGGGGGGCAGCAGUGGGGAAUAUUGCACAAUGGGCGCAAGCCUGAUGCAGCGACGCCGCGUGGGGGAUGACGGCCUUCGGGUUGUAAACCUCUUUCACCAUCGACGAAGGCCCGCUUUUGGGGUGGGUUGACGGUAGGUGGAGAAGAAGCACCGGCCAACUACGUGCCAGCAGCCGCGGUAAUACGUAGGGUGCGAGCGUUGUCCGGAAUUACUGGGCGUAAAGAGCUCGUAGGUGGUUUGUCGCGUUGUUCGUGAAAUUCCCUGGCUUAACUGGGGGCGUGCGGGCGAUACGGGCAGACUGGAGUACUGCAGGGGAGACUGGAAUUCCUGGUGUAGCGGUGGAAUGCGCAGAUAUCAGGAGGAACACCGGUGGCGAAGGCGGGUCUCUGGGCAGUAACUGACGCUGAGGAGCGAAAGCGUGGGGAGCGAACAGGA